CAGAUAUACUAGAACAGGAAAUGGAAAGAAAAUUUCCAAUUUCUUUCCAAAAUAGGCAGUAGUUUAAGGCUAUAAAGCCUUUCGCAAAUCUGUAAAGGAAAAAGGCAGACAUAGAUAGAAACAGAAAGAAUACACAAAAGAGAUAGAGAGAAACACACCACAAAAGAUAUUUUACACUGAGUAUUCUUGAAUAAUAUGUCAGAAGGUUUUCGAGAGAAGCAAAUGUGAUCUGUUGUAUCUGCUUUUAUUUCAUUAUUUUAUUACAAAUAGUUUGCAUAUAAUACAUCAAAAUAGAGGAAAGAAAUAUACCUUUUAGAUUGGCUGAGAAAAAUGAAGUUUUUCAGAUCCCGACCGCUGUAUAUGGUGGAAUCAGUGACGGCGCGUGAGGCUGGGCACGGAGGCCCGGUGAAUGGAGCAAACCGGCCUAGGGCCGGAGCUCAGAGGGCUGGGGAACUCUCAAAGGAUUUCUUUUAGUUUUUUU
RNAcentral lists this long non-coding RNA (481 nucleotides) under Gossypium barbadense (sea-island cotton). Its description in RNAcentral is "long non-coding RNA (GBAR_LNC002433)". The record is from RNAcentral. Lineage: Eukaryota; Viridiplantae; Streptophyta; Magnoliopsida; Malvales; Malvaceae.